CGCUGCUGACUUUCCAGACACGCUCUGCGUAUUGACACAGCACGCGACACGCUGAGAGGGCUUUUAAUUUGAAACGAGACACAAAAGAAGAAUGGCCGGAGGGAGAGACAAGUUUUGGUAAAAACCUAGGACAGCUGGCAACUUCUGCUGCCUCUUGCGGAGCUCCGUCUCCAGAUCUGAGGGCCGCCGUUGUGCCAUCUCCUCCUCCUUGUGCAGCUCCAGUCUGCGCUGCUCCAGCACUCGCUUCAGCUCCGGUUUCUCCUCCAGCAGCAGGCCCCUGUACGAGAGGUGGAGCUGGGGGAUCACCUGACGGGUGUUUGUCCUGAUGCAAGCCAUUGUUCCAGUCAGGGCCUGCAGCGCUGGGAUGGAUUCCAGGAAAAUCACUCCACCUAAUCUCACAACUUCUCCUUCUCUCUAGAUCAGAUGCUCUGAAUUGUAUUAUCACUACUUGACUCUAAUUUUGCCUUCAGAAACACCAACAAGAUGCUCAGGAGUUUAAGAUAUACACACUUAAUAAAUCUUGUGUUUGAUAGCUUUCAAUAUAGAUUCAAAUAAAACUUUGAUGACAGCACACACUACACU
Molecule: long non-coding RNA, 582 nt
Organism: Siniperca chuatsi (mandarin fish)
Lineage: Eukaryota; Metazoa; Chordata; Actinopteri; Centrarchiformes; Sinipercidae
Exons: 3
Source: RefSeq, a predicted model, not a curated record